Long non-coding RNA from Asparagus officinalis (garden asparagus), 842 nucleotides. RefSeq lists it as uncharacterized. The transcript has 4 exons. The record is from RefSeq and is a predicted model, not a curated record. Lineage: Eukaryota; Viridiplantae; Streptophyta; Magnoliopsida; Asparagales; Asparagaceae.
AUUCCCCGUGACCUCUCUCUCUCCUGAAAUAAAUCGCUUUAUCUCAAAUGCUCCCCCCCAAAUCCCUUGACCUUCUCUCUCUCUCCCCCAAAUCUAUUUCUUCUCCACUAAAAUCCCCAAUUCCCUGCAGCUCAUCUCUCUCCUCGUCCUUAAAAUCUUCAUCGGAGCCGUCUAAAGCCGCGAGAGAGAACGCCGUCAGCCGCCGCCUUCGCCUGCUCUCGAGAUCCGUCGCCUUCUCUCGAGAUCCGUCGACUUCGCCUGCAAUAGAGCCGUCGUCAGCCGCCGCGAGACUGCUCUGCAACAGCGCCGGGUCGCCGCCGUUCCACAAUCACAGCAGCAAGCGUUCUUUCAUCAAGAGUUCGGAAUGGAGUCAGAAAAUUCAACUACUGUAGAGUUCGGAAUGGGAGAAUCAAGCAUCAUCGGAAGUGGAAUGGGAGAAUCAAACUAAAUUCUCGGUGAUGAUUCAAAUUUUCUCGGUAAUGAAGGGCUUAAUAUUUUUGAGCUAUCUUGUAAAAUCCGAGUGAAUAACAUCAAUGGUGGUUGGUUGGAACAUAGGUUGAGCAUUCUCUUUUAUGCAGCUAUCUUGUAAUGUGAUUUGGGCUUAUAUUCAGCUACUUUGGUUGUAACUUUGGAGGUUAAGUCUUUCUUUGAUGAAACUCUGUUUGAUGUUGUAACUCAUGAUGUAACUCUGUUUGAUGCUUGUAGCUUUGCUGUAGCUCAUAUUCAGCUAGCUAUAGCUCAAUUCUCUUUUAUGCAGCUAUCUUGUAAUGUGAUUUGAGCUUAUAUGCAGCUAUCUUGUAAUGAUUAUUCAGCUACUUUGGUUGCAUCUGUUUCUUGUGAUU